AUUGGGGCUCAGUGGUAGAGUGCUUGCCUAGCAUGUGUGGGGCCCUGGGUUCAAUCCUCAGCACCAAUA
Molecule: transfer RNA, 69 nt
Filed under: Marmota monax (woodchuck)
Lineage: Eukaryota; Metazoa; Chordata; Mammalia; Rodentia; Sciuridae
Description: tRNA.Ala
Source: RNAcentral